Molecule: ribosomal RNA, 305 nt
Filed under: uncultured bacterium
Lineage: Bacteria
Description: bacterial SSU rRNA
Rfam family: Bacterial small subunit ribosomal RNA
Source: RNAcentral
UUUCCCUACGGGAGGCAGCAGUGAGGAAUAUUGGUCAAUGGGCGAGAGCCUGAACCAGCCAAGUCGCGUGAAGGAUGAAGGAUCUAUGGUUUGUAAACUUCUUUUAUAUGGGAAUAAAGUGAGGAACGUGUUCCUUUUUGUAUGUACCAUAUGAAUAAGCAUCGGCUAACUCCGUGCCAGCAGCCGCGGUAAUACGGAAGGUCCGGGCGUUAUCCGGAUUUAUUGGGUUUAAAGGGAGCGUAGGCCGGCUUUUAAGUCAGCUGUGAAAGUCCGCGGCUCAACCGUGGAAUUGCAGUUGAAACUGG